Molecule: small nuclear RNA, 107 nt
Organism: Jaculus jaculus (lesser Egyptian jerboa)
Lineage: Eukaryota; Metazoa; Chordata; Mammalia; Rodentia; Dipodidae
Source: Ensembl
GUACUUGCUUCAUCAGCACAUAUACUAAAACUGGAGUGCUACAGAGAUGCUUAGCAUGGCCACUGUGUAAGGGAGACAUACAUAUCUGUGAAGCGUUCCAUUAUUUU